The sequence is a ribosomal RNA, 1035 nucleotides long. It matches the Rfam family "Bacterial large subunit ribosomal RNA", at positions 1 to 887 of the family's 2925-position model.
GGUCAAGUUAUGAAGGGCACAUGGUGGAUGCCUAGGCACAGAGCAGCGAAGAAGGACGUGGCAAGCUGCGAUAAGCCACGGGGAGGUGCAAGCGACCGUAGAUCCGUGGAUUUCCGAAUGGGGCAACCCGGUCCCGUUCAUACGGGAUCACCCCGCACCUACUUUAGCCUUAUAGAGAAAGCGGAAGAGCGAGUACCGUGAGGCUAAAGUAGGUGCGGGGAGCGAACCCGGGGAACUGAAACAUCUCAGUACCCGGAGGAAAAGAAAGAGAGAGUCGAUUCCCUCAGUAGCGGCGAGCGAAGGGGGAGUAGCCUAAACCCGAUGCAUGUAGAAGGCCGCAGCCGUUGUGCAUUGGGGGUAGAGGGACGUUGACGGGACGCACUGCGGGGCGUCCGGGGAGUGAUCAACUAACAGGGUAGCCGAAUCGUCCUGGAAAGGCGAGCCACAGAGGGUGAAGGCCCCGUAGGCGAAACCUUGUUAGCUCCCUGGUCAACGCUCCCGAGUACUGCGGGGCACGAGGAAUCCCGUAGGAAUCGGUGCCGACCACGGCAUAAGGCUAAAUAUGGCUCUGUGACCGAUAGUGGACCAGUACCGUGAGGGAAAGGUGAAAAGCACCCCUGGCGGGGAGUGAAAUAGUACCUGAAACCAUGUGCCUACAAUCAGUCGGAGCCCCGCACCUACUUUGACCUUAUGGAGAUAUUGAACUGAGAGUCUCGUGAGGUCAAAGUAGGUGCGGGGUGACGGCGUGCCUUUUGCAUAAUGAGCCAGCGAGUUGUGGUAGGCAGCGCAGGUUAAGUCCCUCAGGGACGGAGCCGUAGCGAAAGCGAGUCUGAACAGGGCGUCCCAGUUGCCUGCUGCAGACGCGAAGCCGGGUGAUCUACCCAUGGCCAGGAUGAAGCCCCGGUAAAACGGGGUGGAGGUCCGAACCCACUGGUGUUGAAAAACCAGGGGAUGAGCUGUGGGUAGGGGUGAAAGGCCAAUCAAACCCGGAGAUAGCUCGUUCUCCCCGAAAUAUAUUUAGGUAUAGCCUCGGGU